RNAcentral lists this long non-coding RNA (334 nucleotides) under Gossypium raimondii (Peruvian cotton). Its description in RNAcentral is "long non-coding RNA (GRAI_LNC008340)". The record is from RNAcentral. Lineage: Eukaryota; Viridiplantae; Streptophyta; Magnoliopsida; Malvales; Malvaceae.
UAGUUAGGGUUUUCAAGCUUCCAAGCUCCAUAGUAAGUGAUCCCAAGCCCCGUUUUUAAUGUUCUUUACGUUUUUGGAGUCCCGGUAGCUUAAUUUAGCUUAUUCUAGCAAUAAUUCGUGCUAGGGUUCAUAUUUGGAAAAAUACCCAUAGGUGAAAUGGGUUUAUUUUGCUGUUUUAUGGUGGAAUAUGAAGCUAGAAAUUAUGUUAAAUAACUUUUGCUAAGCGAUUUUAAACGAAAACGGGUAAAUAGACAUAAUCGGUAAAAAUACCUAAUGUUCAAAAGUGUGUGUUAGAGUGAGAAUUUGAUGUUGUCAUAGAAGGGAAAAAUGUUCA